GAUGACGUUGGAGCCAAGUUUCGUGCUUCGCAAGCAAGGGGCCGGGGGUUCGAGUCCCCCACGUCCACCA
This 70-nucleotide transfer RNA is filed under the name Acidobacteriota bacterium. RNAcentral's name for it is "Acidobacteria bacterium tRNA-Ala". Lineage: Bacteria; Pseudomonadati; Acidobacteriota. The record is from RNAcentral.